RNAcentral lists this unclassified non-coding RNA (157 nucleotides) under uncultured Neofabraea. RNAcentral's name for it is "sequence contains ITS1". Lineage: Eukaryota; Fungi; Ascomycota; Leotiomycetes; Helotiales; Dermateaceae. The record is from RNAcentral.
CAGAGUUCUUGCCCUUCGGGGUAGAUCUCCCACCCGUGUGUUUUAUACCUUUGUUGCUUUGGCAGGCCGGCCCCGGCCACUGGCUCCAGCUAGUGAGUGCCUGCCAGAGGACUCCCAACUCUGAAUUAAUUGUCGUCUGAGUACUAUAUAAUAGUUA